This 505-nucleotide ribosomal RNA is filed under the name uncultured bacterium. Its description in RNAcentral is "partial 16S ribosomal RNA". It matches the Rfam family "Bacterial small subunit ribosomal RNA", at positions 28 to 507 of the family's 1533-position model. The record is from RNAcentral.
GACGAACGCUGGCGGCGUGCCUAAUACAUGCAAGUCGAACGCACAGUCUAUACCCUAGCUUGCUUCACCAUAAACUGUGAGGUGCGAACGGGACAGGAACGCGUAGCUAACCUGCCUGGUAGCGGGUCAUAACUAUUGGAAACGUUAGCUAAUAUCUCAUAAUAUUCAUUAUUGCAUGAUAAUUGAUGGAAAUAUGCAAUUGCAUCACUACCAGAUGGACCUGUGUUGUAUUAGCUAGUAGGUGAGGUAACGGCUCACCUAAGCGACGAUACAUAGCCGACCUGAGGGGGUGGUCGGCCAACAUGGGAAUGAGACACGGCCCAGACUCCUACGGGAGGGAGCAGGAAGGGAACUUCGGCAAUGGACGGAAGGCUGGACGAGGAAAGCCGGGUGAGGGAAGAAGGGUUUCGGGACGUAAAGAUCUGUUGUAAGAGAAGAACGAGUGUGGGAGUGGACAGUUCACACUGUGACGGUAUCCAACCAGAAAGGGACGGCUAACUACGUG